GGAAGGUCACCGCUUAAUCGCUCCCACCCUCCGGGAGCGAACCGGGGAACCACUUCCUUCUAGGCGGUGCGUGCAGACGCACUGCAGAGAAUUGGGGUGAAUCGCGGUCCGAACCCACCAGGUUCGAGAACGCGUAGGGCCAUCUCUUCCGGCCCGAACCCGACAGCUAACCCGGUCAGCGGUCAGGGAGAAACA
This 195-nucleotide small RNA is filed under the name Gordonia malaquae. RNAcentral's name for it is "c-di-AMP sequence". It matches the Rfam family "c-di-AMP riboswitch aptamer (ydaO/yuaA leader)". Rfam says of the family: This family represents a conserved RNA structure found upstream of the ydaO and yuaA genes in Bacillus subtilis and related genes in other bacteria. The ydaO/yuaA element is thought to act as a genetic "off" switch for the ydaO and yuaA genes in its native state. Lineage: Bacteria; Bacillati; Actinomycetota; Actinomycetes; Mycobacteriales; Gordoniaceae. RNAcentral also lists the same sequence under 1 other name. The record is from RNAcentral.